UGGGUUCCCGUAGCAGCGGCGAGCGAAGCGGGAAGAGCUCAAAUUUAUAAUCUGGCACCUUCGGUGUCCGAGUUGUAAUCUCUAGAAAUGUUUUCCGCGUUGGACCGCACACAAGUCUGUUGGAAUACAGCGGCAUAGUGGUGAGACCCCCGUAUAUGGGGCGGACGCCCAGCGCUUUGUGAUACAUUUUCGAAGAGUCGAGUUGUUUGGGAAUGCAGCUCAAAUUGGGUGGAAAAUUCCAUCUAAAGCUAAAUAUUGGCGAGAGACCGAUGGCAAACAGGUACCGGGAGGGAAAGAUGAAAAGCACUUUGGAAAGAGAGUUAACAGUACGUGAAAUUGUUGGAAGGAAAACGCUUGAAGUCAGACUUGCUUGCCGAGCAAUCGGUUUGCAGGCCAGCAUCAGUUUUCCGGGAUGGAUAAUGGUAAAAAAAAAGGUAGCAGUUUCGGCUGUGUUAUAGCUCUCUGCUGGAUACAUCUGGGGGGACUGAGGAACGCAGUGGGCCCUUUGCAGGGGGUUUCGAACUCUCUUCCACACUUAGGAAGGCUGGGUGGAAUGGCUUUUAAACGACCCGUCUAAAAAAAAAGGAACACAAA
This 594-nucleotide ribosomal RNA is filed under the name Rhodotorula mucilaginosa. Its description in RNAcentral is "partial 26S ribosomal RNA". It matches the Rfam family "Eukaryotic large subunit ribosomal RNA", at positions 71 to 664 of the family's 3401-position model. The record is from RNAcentral. Lineage: Eukaryota; Fungi; Basidiomycota; Microbotryomycetes; Sporidiobolales; Sporidiobolaceae.